AGGACGAACGCUGGCGGCGUGCUUAACACAUGCAAGUCGAGCGGUAAGGCCUUUCGGGGUACACGAGCGGCGAACGGGUGAGUAACACGUGGGUGAUCUGCCCUGCACUUCGGGAUAAGCCUGGGAAACUGGGUCUAAUACCGGAUAUGACCUCAGGUUGCAUGACUUGGGGUGAAAGAUUUAUCGGUGCAGGAUGGGCCCGCGGCCUAUCAGCUUGUUGGUGGGGUAAUGGCCUACCAAGGCGACGACGGGUAGCCGACCUGAGAGGGUGACCGGCCACAUUGGGACUGAGACACGGCCCAGACUCCUACGGGAGGCAGCAGUGGGAAUAUGCACAAUGGGCGAAAGCCUGAGUGCAGCGACGCCGCGUGAGGAUGGACGGCCGUUCGGGUUGUAACCGUCUUUCAGCAGGGACGAAGGACGCGAAGGUGACGGUACCGUGACGAGAAGAAGACACCGGCGUAACACGU
Molecule: ribosomal RNA, 470 nt
Filed under: uncultured soil bacterium
Lineage: Bacteria
Description: bacterial SSU rRNA
Rfam family: Bacterial small subunit ribosomal RNA
Source: RNAcentral